RNAcentral lists this transfer RNA (64 nucleotides) under Cucujoidea sp. 6 KM-2017. Its description in RNAcentral is "tRNA-Phe". The record is from RNAcentral. Lineage: Eukaryota; Metazoa; Arthropoda; Insecta; Coleoptera.
AUUCAAAUAGCUUAAAUUUAGAGCAUGAUAUUGAAGAUAUCAAGGUAACUUAUGUUUUUGAGUA